This 404-nucleotide ribosomal RNA is filed under the name uncultured bacterium. RNAcentral's name for it is "bacterial SSU rRNA". It matches the Rfam family "Bacterial small subunit ribosomal RNA", at positions 355 to 776 of the family's 1533-position model. The record is from RNAcentral.
UAGGGAAUAUUAGAAAUGGACGAAAGUCUGAUCUAGCAACACCGCGUGUGCGAUGAAGGCCUUCGGGUUGUAAAGCACUUUUUGGAAGGGUUAGGAAGGAAUGUACUUCCAGAAUAAGUCUCGGCUAACUACGUGCCAGCAGCCGCGGUAAUACGUAGGAGGCGAACGUUAUCCGGAUUUACUGGGCGUAAAGCGCGUGUAGGUGGUUCUGUAAGUAGGGCGUGAAAGCUCCUGGCUCAACUGGGAGAGGCCGUUCUAAACUGCAGAGCUAGAGGAUGGUAGAGGGAGGUGGAAUUCCGGGUGUAGCGGUGGAAUGCGCAGAUAUCCGGAGGAACACCAGUGGCGAAGGCGGCCUCCUAGACCAUUCCUGACACUCAGACGCGAAAGCUAGGGUAGCAAACGGG